GAUCGCUUGAACUUUAAGAGAUUUUUUUUUUUCAUAAUUUGCAUGUCAACAAUUUUAUAUUUAGGAUGCGCGUGUCUGACAUGCAUAUGUAGGUGCGCAGUUAGGUAUUACGUUCUGCAACCCGCAAUCAAUCUUGCCGAGGUGGAUCGAGCGUGAUUUUGCGAGAAUUACGGCCGAUUUCACUAGCUUUCCUCCGAAUUAGAUAACGUUCAUUAAAUUCGCGGUUAACGACUCUUUAGACGCAUAAUUUUCUUGUCCCAGAAUCUCAUUCUUCAUAUCUCGUUUUGAAGCCUCGUGAAGCUGUGACGGCAAAAGUCGGAAGGAAUUUACGCUCGAGCUGACAUUCACCAACGCGAGAUGUGGAUGUUAAUUAAAUUUCUCUAUUCGAGGGAACAAAUUAUGCAACCGGCACAGAAAAAUAUACAGUCUGUUUCACGCGAUACGUACAAAGAGGGGAUCUCUUAUGACAACUAUUCCAGCUGGAUCGUACUUCCCAAGUA
This is a long non-coding RNA of Wasmannia auropunctata (little fire ant), 500 nucleotides long. RefSeq lists it as uncharacterized. The record is from RefSeq and is a predicted model, not a curated record. The transcript has 4 exons. NCBI's taxonomy places the organism in Eukaryota, Metazoa, Arthropoda, Insecta, Hymenoptera, Formicidae.